ACAGAGAAAUUGAAUGUCAAAAUAUAAUAGAAACUACCUCUGGAAUGAUACUGUCAAGACCAUUAAUGAGUUCUUGCAUCAAGUUAGCAGUGUCCCCAAAAUAGAAGCUGGAGCUGAGCCAAUGAGUCCAACAGAAGAAGAGCCUGUUUCAGAUAUAAAGAUAGGACCUUCACCAUCAAACACCAUACAAGAAACAGUAAUGAGGCUGUCACUAUCAAAACCUUACCUUGGCUACCCAUAAUCGCAUCCCCAUUGCCUUCAUUGUUAACCAUAUAGUUACCUCUCUUAGGCACAAGUAGACACGUUAUGGGUAACAGUACAUAACUCCCAUCUCCUACAUCUUUAACCACUCCAUCCGUACCACC
This 365-nucleotide long non-coding RNA is filed under the name Brassica napus (rape). RNAcentral describes it as "long non-coding RNA (BNAP_LNC019966)". The record is from RNAcentral. Lineage: Eukaryota; Viridiplantae; Streptophyta; Magnoliopsida; Brassicales; Brassicaceae.